AAUAAGAUAAGCUAAAAAAGCUAGUGGGUUCAUACCCCAAAAAUGAUAUUAUCUCUUAUUA
This 61-nucleotide transfer RNA is filed under the name Hirudinaria manillensis. RNAcentral's name for it is "tRNA-Met". The record is from RNAcentral. Lineage: Eukaryota; Metazoa; Annelida; Clitellata; Hirudinida; Hirudinidae.